Molecule: ribosomal RNA, 231 nt
Filed under: uncultured bacterium
Lineage: Bacteria
Description: partial 16S ribosomal RNA
Rfam family: Bacterial small subunit ribosomal RNA
Source: RNAcentral
CGGGACGGGUGAGUAAUGUAUGGGGAUCUGCCUGAUGGCGGGGGAUAACUACUGGAACGGUAGCUAAUACCGCAUAACGUCGCAAGACCAAGAGGGGGACCUUCGGGCCUCGCGCCAUCAGAUGAACCCAUAUGGGAUUAGCUUGUAGGUAAGGUAACGGCUUACCUAGGCGACGAUCCCUAGCUGGUCUGAGAGGAUGAUCAGCCACACUGGGACUGAGACACGGCCCAG